UAUGACCAUGUCACGUUGAAAUACCGGUUCUCGUGCAAUCACCGAAGUUAAGCAAUGUCGAGCCUGCCCAGUACUUCGAUGGAUAACCGCAUGGGAAUAUCAAGUGCUGUAGG
Molecule: non-coding RNA, 113 nt
Organism: Acanthosepion pharaonis
Lineage: Eukaryota; Metazoa; Mollusca; Cephalopoda; Sepiida; Sepiidae
Source: the annotation of a GenBank genome assembly